This is a long non-coding RNA of Haliotis rubra (blacklip abalone), 493 nucleotides long. RefSeq lists it as uncharacterized. The transcript is spliced from 5 exons. The record is from RefSeq and is a predicted model, not a curated record. Lineage: Eukaryota; Metazoa; Mollusca; Gastropoda; Lepetellida; Haliotidae.
CCAAACGCCUGAUUCCCCGAGAAUAGGAAUAUCGUUUAAUGCUGUGAUACACAAGAUAGGGAGUAACCGUGUUUGGCAACCGAGGUAUAGAAUAUAUCGCACAUCAUAUCCUGUAAGACUGAUACAACGUCCAACUGACAAAAUGUGGCCUUGUCCUGCCUGCACCUUCGAAAAUGAAGAUGAAUGUAGAAAGUGCAAAAUGUGUAGAGUGGAGCACAUUAGUGGAGAAAACGUCCAUUCCCUUCUCUGCACACAGAAGUAUAUAAUGAUGUCUCCCUGCUAUGGAGAGCGCGGAGUUUUCAUGUAGCCGACACAGACGGCAUGGUCUACCCUGUAUGUGACUCGCCUAUGAGCAAUUUUGUGUAAAGACACCACUCUUCAGAACACACAAGAUAUUCAUCGAGUCAACUAGUGCUUGCUGUAAGCAAGUAUAUGAUGGUGAAUACAGUUGAAGAUUACUGCACAAAUUGCUGACGUGUUUGUCCUCUUUGCC